AACGAACGCUGGCGGCAGGCCUAACACAUGCAAGUCGAACGCUGUAGCAAUACAGAGUGGCAGACGGGUGAGUAACACGUGGGAACAUACCCUUAGGUUCGGAAUAGCUCAGGGAAACUUGAGGUAAUACCGGAUAAGCCCUUCGGGGGAAAGAUUUAUCGCCAUUGGAUUGGCCCGCGUCUGAUUAGCUAGUUGGUGAGGUAAUGGCUCACCAAGGCGACGAUCAGUAGCNGGUCUGAGAGGAUGACCAGCCACACUGGGACUGAGACACGGCCCAGACUCCUACGGGAGGCAGCAGUGGGGAAUAUUGGACAAUGGGCGAAAGCCUGAUCCAGCCAUGCCGCGUGAGUGAAGAAGGCCUUAGGGUUGUAAAGCUCUUUCAGCGGGGAAG
RNAcentral lists this ribosomal RNA (391 nucleotides) under uncultured bacterium. RNAcentral describes it as "bacterial SSU rRNA". It matches the Rfam family "Bacterial small subunit ribosomal RNA", at positions 29 to 447 of the family's 1533-position model. The record is from RNAcentral.